UGUACAAACCAAAUUUUGUCAGCCCUAGUCUGCAGCAUUCUGAAGCUCUGUGUGUUUGUGUGUCCACAGGGUUGUGUGACUCAGACGGGCAGUCGCUCGGGCACCCUCACCUCGUCCAUGUCCAUGGGUCUUGGUCUGGGCCUCGGCGCUCCAGCAAUGAUCAGCAGCGGUACAGCCACAAUCUCCUCUGCUACUGCCGCCAAGAUGAACCGACUGCCGGCUAAUCUGCUGGACCAGCUGGAGCGCCACCUACCGCUGCAGCGCGACGGCUUCAGCACGCUACAGUUCCACCGGCGCAGCCGCGGCUCCAAACCACGCAGCGAGAGCCCCAGCCGCAUCCGAAACCUGGUGCAGUCUGUGCAGAAGCUCUUCGCAAAGUCACAAUCCCUAGAGGUGUCCGCAAUUAAAGCCGGCAGCAUAACAAGCGGAGAUAAAACCGGCAGACGAAGCAAAAGCAAAGAUCGUGCAAAAACCGAAGGCACCAAACGUCGCCCGAGACCCAAUCUCUCCGGUUUCUGGAGCUCAGAUGAUGGUUUAGAGGAUGAUCCGCCAGCUCAACCCACCGCUGGGCCGCUAGCGGUGGCAUAUCGUAACCCGCUUAGCAUGAUGACACUAGGCAGAGCUGUAUCUGACAGCCAGGCGGCGCUCAAACCGCAUCCGCAGGGCUACAACACCAUCGCCGCGCUCAAAUCCUCCAAGAGCAGCGGAGAGCUGAAAGCACAGGCCAGUCUGCCACCAGCUGGAGCCCAGCACGCAGAGCUGGUGAAGAGAGGCUCCUGGUCCACGCUGACCCUCAGUCAGGCCAGACAGGUGCUGCAGAAGAGCUCCGCCACCGUCAACCGCACGCUGCUCAAGUCCAAGUCCUGCCACGGACAGGAGAUGACCUGCAACUUCCUACAGGUGCCCACAGGAGAGUGGAGCGGGACUCUAGGUAAAGCAGGCGCCGCGGGUGAGAUCCCCUGCAGACGGAUGCGCAGCGGCAGCUACGUCAAAGCCAUGGGUGACACUGAGGACAGCGAGGACUCUGACGGGCCUCCUUCACCCAAACCCUCGCCCAAAAGCGCAGCCAGACGCCAGAGUUACCUAAAGGCCACGCAGCACUCGCUCAGCGAACAACAGCCGCCGCUUCCGCCACGCAACUGUAUGCCGUCUCUGUGCGAGGUGCCAACCAACCGCAGCCUGGACAACCUGGACUGUCUAAUGGGCCCCGGGGAUGCAGCUCUGCAGCACUGGGAUGUUGAUGGGGGAUUCAGUCAGCGCUGCGCCACACUGGGAAGAGGAUCUAUCAUGAGCCAGGUCACAAACAUUCACUCAUUUACUGCAGAUUAUUAAAGCAUCACUGUUUUUGUUAAACAUGUUUUCAAUAUUUGGUUUAAUACAAU
RNAcentral lists this long non-coding RNA (1382 nucleotides) under Danio rerio (zebrafish). RNAcentral describes it as "lncRNA (ENSDARG00000117217.1)". Lineage: Eukaryota; Metazoa; Chordata; Actinopteri; Cypriniformes; Danionidae. The record is from RNAcentral.